RNAcentral lists this ribosomal RNA (1528 nucleotides) under Fidelibacterota bacterium. RNAcentral describes it as "bacterial SSU rRNA". It matches the Rfam family "Bacterial small subunit ribosomal RNA". The record is from RNAcentral. Lineage: Bacteria; Pseudomonadati; Fidelibacterota.
UCGACGGAGAGUUUGAUCCUGGCUCAGGACGAACGCUGGCGGCGGGCCUAAUACAUGCAAGUCGAACGCACUCGACCUUCGGGUCACAUGAGUGAGUGGCGAACGGGUGAGUAACACGUGAGGAACCUGCCCUGAAGACCGGAAUAACCCGAGGAAACUCGAGCUAAUACCGGAUAUCCCCAUCUGGUCGCAUGGCCUAAUGAGGAAAUGUUCAGGCGCUUCAGGAGGGUCUCACGGCCUAUCAGCUAGUUGGUGAGGUAAUGGCUCACCAAGGCAUCGACGGGUAGCUGGUCUGAGAGGACGAUCAGCCACACUGGGACUGAGACACGGCCCAGACUCCUACGGGAGGCUGCAGCAGGGAAUCUUGCGCAAUGAGCGAAAGCUUGACGCAGCGACACCGCGUGUGGGAUGACGGAUCUAGGUUUGUAAACCACUUUCAGGAGGGAAGAAAUUGACGGUACCUCCACAAGAAGCCCCGGCCAACUACGUGCCAGCAGCCGCGGUAAUACGUAGGGGGCGAGCGUUAUCCGGAUUUACUGGGCAUAAAGGGCGCGUAGGCGUCUUAGCAAGCCUUGAUUGAAAUCCCCCGGCUCAACCGGGGAACUGGUCAGGGAACUGCUAGGAUAGAGUUUGGUAGGGGAGAGCGGAAUUCCUGGUGUAGCGGUGAUAUGCGUAGAUAUCAGGAGGAACACCUAAAGCGAAGGCAGCUCUCUGGGCCAAUACUGACGCUGAGGCGCGAAAGCGUGGGGAGCAAACAGGAUUAGAUACCCUGGUAGUCCACGCCGUAAACGAUGAGCACUUGGUGUCGGGGGAUUCGACCCCCUCGGUGCCGUAGCUAACGUGUUAAGUGCUCCGCCUGGGGACUACGACCGCAAGGUUGAAACUCAAAGGAAUUGACGGGGGCCCGCACAAGCGGUGGAACAUGUGGUUUAAUUCGAGGCAACGCGAAGAACCUUACCUGGGCUUGACAUGUCAGUGAAAGCUCCGUGAAAGCGGAGCCCUCUGCGAGCUUGCUCAAAGACACUGUCACAGGUGGUGCAUGGCUGUCGUCAGCUCGUGUCGUGAGAUGUUGGGUUAAGUCCCGCAACGAGCGCAACCCUUGUCCUUAGUUGCCAGCACGUUAUGGUGGGGACUCUAAGGAGACUGCCUGGGAUAACCAGGAGGAAGGUGGGGAUGACGUCAAGUCCGUAUGUCCCUUAUGCCCAGGGCUACACACGUGUUACAAUGGCCGGUACAAAGGGUCGCGAACCCGCGAGGGGAAGCCAAUCCCAUAAAACCGGCCUCAGUUCGGAUUGGAGUCUGCAACUCGACUCCAUGAAGCAGGAAUCGCUAGUAAUCGCGUAUCAGCACGACGCGGUGAAUACGUUCCCGGGCCUUGUACACACCGCCCGUCACGCCAUGGAAGUCGGUAGUGCCCAAAGCAGGUGGCCUAACCUUCGGGAGGGAACCUACUAAGGUAAGACUGGUGACUGGGGCGAAGUCGUAACAAGGUAGCCGUACCGGAAGGUGCGGCUGGAACACCUCCUUU